AUUUUUAUUGUAGAGAGCCGUUAGCUCAGUUGGUAGAGCAUCUGACUUUUAAUCAGAGGGUCGCUGGUUCGAACCCAGCACGGCUCACUUUUGCGGGUGUGGCGGAAUUGGCAGACGCACCAGAUUUAGGAUCUGGCGCCGCGAGGCGUGGGGGUUCAAGUCCCUUCACCCGCACUUAUUUUAAAUAUGCGGAAGUAGUUCAGUGGUAGAACAUCACCUUGCCAAGGUGGGGGUCGCGGGUUCGAACCCCGUCUUCCGCUUGUUUACAAAAGUUCCAAUAUGCCGGGGUGGCGGAACUGGCAGACGCACAGGACUUAAAAUCCUGCGGAUAGUGAUAUCCGUACCGGUUCGAUUCCGGUCCUCGGCAUUAUUUUUAUAUGCGCCCAUAGCUCAACUGGAUAGAGUACUUGACUACGAAUCAAGCGGUUAGAGGUUCGACUCCUCUUGGGCGCACUUUAUUAAACGGGAAGUAGCUCAGCUUGGUAGAGCACUUGGUUUGGGACCAAGGGGUCGCAGGUUCGAAUCCUGUCUUCCCGAUUGUUUCAUUUUUAUUAUGGGGCCUUAGCUCAGCUGGGAGAGCGCCUGCUUUGCACGUAGGAGGUCAGCGGUUCGAUCCCGCUAGGCUCCACCAAAUUAUUUCUAAAAAUGUGUUGACAUUGUUUAGAGAAUAGAGUAAGAUAUAAGAGUUGCUGCUAAAGGCAACGAAGAAGAAAAAGUGACCUUUGAAAACUGAACAAAGAAGAAGACGAAAAGCAAUGAGACGUAAAGUCUCACUGGUAAUCGCAGGGCAGAAAACAGAAAGCUGUUUUCAACAAAACAAACUAGUAAUUUAAUUGCGCCUCGAGGUAAAGAGUCAUGGAGGUAGAGCACUGUUUGGACUAGGGGCCCUUCUCGGGUUACCGAAUUCAGAUAAACUCCGAAUGCCAUGUACUUAUACUCGGGAGUCAGACUGCGAGUGAUAAGAUCCGUAGUCGAAAGGGAAACAGCCCAGACCACCAGUUAAGGUCCCCAAAUAUAUGUUAAGUGGAAAAGGAUGUGGGGUUGCUUAGACAACCAGGAUGUUGGCUUAGAAGCAGCCACCAUUGAAAGAGUGCGUAAUAGCUCACUGGUCGAGUGACCCCGCGCCGAAAAUGUACCGGGGCUAAACAUAUUACCGAAACUGUGGAUGAACCUCUUUAGAGGUUCGUGGUAGGAGAGCGUUCUAAGGGCGGUGAAGUCAGACCGGAAGGACUGGUGGAGCGCUUAGAAGUGAGAAUGCCGGUAUGAGUAGCGAAAGAAGGGUGAGAAUCCCUUCCACCGAAUAUCUAAGGUUUCCUGAGGAAGGCUCGUCCGCUCAGGGUUAGUCGGGACCUAAGCCGAGGCCGAUAGGCGUAGGCGAUGGACAACAGGUAGAGAUUCCUGUACCAGUGCUAAUUGUUUAACCGAUGGGGUGACACAGAAGGAUAGGGAAUCGCACGAAUGGAAAUGUGCGUCCAAGCAGUGAGUGUGAGAAGUAGGCAAAUCCGCUUCUCGCGAAGCAUGAGCUGUGAUGGGGAAGGAAAUUAAGUACGGAAGUUCCUGAUUUCACGCUGUCAAGAAAAGCCUCUAGGAAGAGUAGUACUGCCCGUACCGCAAACCGACACAGGUAGAUGAGGAGAGAAUCCUAAGGUGAGCGAGAGAACUCUCGUUAAGGAACUCGGCAAAAUGACCCCGUAACUUCGGGAGAAGGGGUGCUCUAUUAGGGUGCAAGCCCGAGAGAGCCGCAGUGAAUAGGCCCAGGCGACUGUUUAGCAAAAACACAGGUCUCUGCAAAACCGUAAGGUGACGUAUAGGGGCUGACGCCUGCCCGGUGCUGGAAGGUUAAGAGGAGUGCUUAGCUUCGGCGAAGGUACGAAUUGAAGCCCCAGUAAACGGCGGCCGUAACUAUAACGGUCCUAAGGUAGCGAAAUUCCUUGUCGGGUAAGUUCCGACCCGCACGAAAGGCGCAACGAUCUGGGCACUGUCUCAACGAGAGACUCGGUGAAAUUAUAGUACCUGUGAAGAUGCAGGUUACCCGCGACAGGACGGAAAGACCCCGUGGAGCUUUACUGCAACCUGAUAUGGAAUGUUUGUACCGCUUGUACAGGAUAGGUAGGAGCCGAAGAGACGUGUGCGCUAGCAUACGAGGAGGCAAUGGUGGGAUACUACCCUGGCUGUAUGACCAUUCUAACCCGCCACGCUUAGCGCGUGGGGAGACAGUGUCAGGUGGGCAGUUUGACUGGGGCGGUCGCCUCCUAAAGAGUAACGGAGGCGCCCAAAGGUUCCCUCAGAAUGGAUGGAAAUCAUUCGCAGAGUGUAAAGGCACAAGGGAGCUUGACUGCGAGACUGACAAGUCGAGCAGGGACGAAAGUCGGGCUUAGUGAUCCGGUGGUUCCGCAUGGAAGGGCCAUCGCUCAACGGAUAAAAGCUACCCCGGGGAUAACAGGCUUAUCUCCCCCAAGAGUCCACAUCGACGGGGAGGUUUGGCACCUCGAUGUCGGCUCGUCGCAUCCUGGGGCUGUAGUCGGUCCCAAGGGUUGGGCUGUUCGCCCAUUAAAGCGGCACGCGAGCUGGGUUCAGAACGUCGUGAGACAGUUCGGUCCCUAUCCGUCGCGGGCGCAGGAAAUUUGAGAGGAGCUGUCCUUAGUACGAGAGGACCGGGAUGGACACACCGCUGGUGUACCAGUUGUUCCGCCAGGAGCAUCGCUGGGUAGCUAUGUGUGGCAGGGAUAAACGCUGAAAGCAUCUAAGCGUGAAGCCCCCCUCAAGAUGAGAUUUCCCAUUUCUUCGGAAAGUAAGAUCCCUGAAAGAUGAUCAGGUAGAUAGGUUUGGAGUGGAAGUGUAGCGAUACAUGGAGCGGACAAAUACUAAUCGAUCGAGGACUUAACC
Molecule: ribosomal RNA, 2886 nt
Filed under: Listeria monocytogenes
Lineage: Bacteria; Bacillati; Bacillota; Bacilli; Caryophanales; Listeriaceae
Description: bacterial LSU rRNA
Rfam family: Bacterial large subunit ribosomal RNA (bases 493-2886)
Source: RNAcentral